RNAcentral lists this small nuclear RNA (163 nucleotides) under Colobus angolensis palliatus. Its description in RNAcentral is "U1 spliceosomal RNA (ENSCANG00000000844.1)". It matches the Rfam family "U1 spliceosomal RNA". Rfam says of the family: U1 is a small nuclear RNA (snRNA) component of the spliceosome (involved in pre-mRNA splicing). Its 5' end forms complementary base pairs with the 5' splice junction, thus defining the 5' donor site of an intron. The record is from Rfam by way of RNAcentral. Lineage: Eukaryota; Metazoa; Chordata; Mammalia; Primates; Cercopithecidae.
AUACUUACUUGGCAGGGGAGAUACCAUGAUCACGAAGGUGGUUUUCCCAGGGCGAGGCUUAUCCAUUGCACUCCGGAUGUGCUGACCCCUGCGAUUUCCCCAAAUGUGGUAAACUCGACUGCAUAAUUUGUGGUAGUGGGGGACUGCAUUCGGCUUUCCCCUG